RNAcentral lists this ribosomal RNA (255 nucleotides) under uncultured bacterium. Its description in RNAcentral is "partial 16S ribosomal RNA". It matches the Rfam family "Bacterial small subunit ribosomal RNA", at positions 524 to 776 of the family's 1533-position model. The record is from RNAcentral.
GACAGAGGGUGCAAACGUUGUUCGGAAUUACUGGGCGUAAAGCGCGUGUAGGCGGCCAACUAAGUCGGGCGUGAAAUCCCACGGCUCAACCGUGGAAGUGCACUCGAAACUGGAUGGCUAGAGUCCUGGAGAGGAAGGUGGAAUGCUUGGUGUAGAGGUGAAAUUCGUAGAUAUCAAGCGGAACACCGGUGGCGAAGGCGGCCUUCUGGACAGUGACUGACGCUGAGACGCGAAAAGCGUGGGGGAGCAAACAGG